UAAACUUAGAACUGGGCUAAUAUACUAUUAAUAGCACCAAGUCAUUGGUGCUACCAAGUUUUUGGCCAUUGGAUUAAGAGAUGUGCGGUUAAGAUGAUGUGGGCCCCCUAGGGUUGAGUGGGUGGUUGGUUGAAUAGUAUGAUCUAACGGGUGAAAAUGAUCAAAAGGGUAGAUCUAACGGCGGAAAACUUGAUAGCACCAAGUGCUUCGUGCUAUUAAUAGCAUAGCAGCCGGACUCUAUAAACUUAUAGAUUACGUCUCCUAUAUUUUCAAAAGUACGAAUAUUUUCAUAUUUAUAAGUUUUUUUUUUAUUUUUUAUGAUGGAGCAUAUGAUUCGACGAUCAGCUUCGUUAAGCAUGAUUUACGCUAUUAGAACUAUUUAAAAAUCAAAUUUCAUAAUUUUUGACAUUAUUUACCAAGUGAUCAAAGAGUCUUAAAAAUGACUAUUUUAAUAGCCAAUGUAGCGCGUUUUAAAGUUCAAUGGUGCAGAAUAAUGCAAAUUAUAUGAAACUUUAAUAAAAAAUUCUACUUAACAUUAAGAGCAAGAAUAAUACUUUCAAUUUAAAAUUUUAGUCUUUUAUUAUUAUUUUUUAUAAGGUUUUUUUUUUUCAGCCGUUUAUUUUGAGCUUACUCAUUCACUAGGCAAAAAAAAUUAAAAAAUUAUGAAAUUUGAUUUUUAAAUAGUUUUAAUAGUGUAGAUCAUGUCUAACAGAGUCGACCGCCGAAUCAGAUGCUCCAUCGUCGAAAAUAAUCUACAAGUACGGAGGCCUCCGUACUUUCGAAAGUAUAGAAGCCUACCUCUAUAUAUAUAUAUAGAGAGAGAGAGAGAGAGAGAGAGAGAGAGAGAAUGAUU
This 853-nucleotide long non-coding RNA is filed under the name Ananas comosus (pineapple). RNAcentral's name for it is "long non-coding RNA (ACOM_LNC018578)". Lineage: Eukaryota; Viridiplantae; Streptophyta; Magnoliopsida; Poales; Bromeliaceae. The record is from RNAcentral.